Molecule: ribosomal RNA, 345 nt
Filed under: uncultured Leptolinea sp.
Lineage: Bacteria; Bacillati; Chloroflexota; Anaerolineae; Anaerolineales; Anaerolineaceae
Description: bacterial SSU rRNA
Rfam family: Bacterial small subunit ribosomal RNA
Source: RNAcentral
GGGAGCUAGCACAGGUGCUGCAUGGCUGUCGUCAGCUCGUGUCGUGAGAUGUUCGGUUAAGUCCGCUAACGAGCGCAACCCUCGCUGUGUGUUAUAUGUGUCACAUGGGGACUGCCGGGCCUUAAGCCGGAGGAAGUGGGGAUGAUGUCAAGUCAGCAUGGCCUUUAUGUCCUGGGCUACACACACGCUACAAUGGUCAGCACAAUGGGUCGCUAAGCCGCAAGGUGGAGCCAAUCCUCAAAGUUGGCCUCAGUUCAGAUUGUAGGCUGCAACUCGCCUGCAUGAAGAUGGAGUUGCUAGUAACCGCAGGUCAGCAAUACUGCGGUGAAUACGUUCCCGGGGAUU